GGGCGGAUGCCGGAGCGGUCAAACGGGGUACGUUAAGGGCGUAUUGGCUUUUGCCUACGAGGGUUCGAAUCCUUCUCCGCCCA
Molecule: transfer RNA, 83 nt
Filed under: archaeon
Lineage: Archaea
Description: tRNA-Leu
Rfam family: tRNA
About the family: Transfer RNA (tRNA) molecules are approximately 80 nucleotides in length. Their secondary structure includes four short double-helical elements and three loops (D, anti-codon, and T loops). Further hydrogen bonds mediate the characteristic L-shaped molecular structure. tRNAs have two regions of fundamental functional importance: the anti-codon, which is responsible for specific mRNA codon recognition, and the 3' end, to which the tRNAs corresponding amino acid is attached (by aminoacyl-tRNA synthetases). tRNAs cope with the degeneracy of the genetic code in two manners: having more than one tRNA (with a specific anti-codon) for a particular amino acid; and 'wobble' base-pairing, i.e. permitting non-standard base-pairing at the 3rd anti-codon position.
Source: RNAcentral